RNAcentral lists this ribosomal RNA (447 nucleotides) under uncultured bacterium. RNAcentral describes it as "partial 16S ribosomal RNA". It matches the Rfam family "Bacterial small subunit ribosomal RNA", at positions 356 to 781 of the family's 1533-position model. The record is from RNAcentral.
UGGGAAUUUUGGACGAAUUGGGCGAAAGCCUGAAUCCAGCAAUGCCGCGUGUGUGAAGAAGGCCUUCGGGUUGUAAAGCACUUUUGUCCGGAAAGAAAUCCUUGGCUCUAAUACAGUCGGGGAGUGACGGUACCGGAAGAAUAAGCACCGGCUAACUACGUGCCAGCAGCCGCGGUAAUACGUAGGGUGCAAGCGUUAAUCGGAAUUACUGGGCGUAAAGCGUGCGCAGGCGGUUUGCUAAGACCGAUGUGAAAAUCCCCGGCGUCAACCUAGGGCAACUGGCAAUUGGUGAUGCUGGGCAGGCUAGAGUAUGGCAGAGGGGGUGAAAUUCCACGUGUAGCAGUGAAAAUGCGUAGAGAUGUGGAGGAAUACCGAUGGCGAAGGCAGCCCCUCGGCAAGUCAACUGACGCUCAUGCACGAAAAGCGUGGGGAGCAAAACNGGAUUAA